This is a non-coding RNA of Strongylocentrotus purpuratus (purple sea urchin), 47 nucleotides long. The record is from Rfam. NCBI's taxonomy places the organism in Eukaryota, Metazoa, Echinodermata, Echinoidea, Camarodonta, Strongylocentrotidae.
CCAACGGCUCUUUUUAGAGCCACCAAAUAUUCAAGAAAGAAUCAUUU